CUUUCCAGGGAAGAUGUGCCACCUCCAAAGAGCCGUACGUCCACUGCCAGAAGCUACAUCGGCAGUAAUCAUUCAUCCCUGGGAUCCAUGUCUCCUUCCAACAUGGAAGGAUAUUCCAAGACUCAGUAUAACCAAGUACCAAGUGAAGACUUUGAACGCACUCCUCAGAGUCCGACUCUCCCACCUGCUAAGGUAGCUGCCCCUAAUCUAAGUCGAAUGGGCGCGAUUCCUGUGAUGAUUCCAGCACAGAGCAAGGAUGGGUCUAUAGUAUAGAGCUUCCAUACGUCUCAUCUGUGCUCUCCGUGUUCCUUUCCUUUUUUUGAUAUAUCAAAACCUAUUCUGGUCUAAAUUUUGUUACUAGCCUCAAAAUACAUCAAAAAAUAAGUUAAUCAGGAACUGUACGGAAUAUAUUUUUAAAAAUUUUUGUUUGGUUAUAUUGAAAUAGUUACAGGCAUUAAAGUUAGUAAAGACAAGUUUACCAUCUGAAAAA
This 490-nucleotide long non-coding RNA is filed under the name Pongo abelii (Sumatran orangutan). RNAcentral's name for it is "lincRNA". The record is from RNAcentral. Lineage: Eukaryota; Metazoa; Chordata; Mammalia; Primates; Hominidae.